AAAACGACGGCCAGUACCCGCUGAAUUUAAGCAUAUCACUAAGCGGAGGAAAAGAAACUAACAAGGAUUCCCUCAGUAACGGCGAGUGAAGUGGGAUCAGCCCAGCACCGAAUCCCCUAGGGCUUACCUAGCGGGAACUGUGGUGUUCAGGACGUCAACUGGUAGCGCAAGACCGACCCAAGUCCCUUCUGAUCGAGGCCUUUCCCAGAGCGGGUGUUAGGCCUUUAGGGUCGGUCGAACGUUGCCUGCGAGCGUCCCAAGAGUCGGGUUGUUUGGGAAUGCAGCCCAAAGCAGGUGGUAAACUCCAUCUAAGGCUAAAUACUGGCACGAGACCGAUAGCGGACAA
This 346-nucleotide ribosomal RNA is filed under the name Tonicella marmorea. RNAcentral's name for it is "partial large subunit ribosomal RNA". It matches the Rfam family "Eukaryotic large subunit ribosomal RNA", at positions 1 to 347 of the family's 3401-position model. Lineage: Eukaryota; Metazoa; Mollusca; Polyplacophora; Chitonida; Mopaliidae. The record is from RNAcentral.